Molecule: long non-coding RNA, 1402 nt
Filed under: Orbicella faveolata
Lineage: Eukaryota; Metazoa; Cnidaria; Anthozoa; Scleractinia; Merulinidae
Description: uncharacterized LOC110063542, transcript variant X1
Source: RNAcentral
CGCUGAUUUCGAAAAUUAACUGUACACUUUCGACCAAUCAGAAAAGAGAUAGUGGGUUCAAUGUAUAAUAACAGGUACAAUGGACCGUUGUUUUCCAAUUUGCUACGUCAGAAUGCCGUCCAUACAAAAAAAAACCGACUGUUGUGCGGAUCUUAGGGGUCAUUUCAAGUUUCCCACGAGUCACGUCAAGCAAUUUAAAAACAAUAUUUACAUAACGACCCUGUUAUGUAUCCCGGAAGUUCUUGCCAAGCGAACAAGAGUUCGACACUGCCGCUCGAAACCGGACUUCAUGAUCCGGUUACAAACAUUUGGCCACAUAUUUCACAAAGAGCUCAAGAGUUGUCGGGACAAUAACAAAGCCGGGAGAAAAUGUGGUCGAAUAUAGGACUGUUAUAUUUGAAGUUGUUUUCAAUAUGGCUGCUGUUGUUUGCUGCACCUUGCCUUAGUGAAGAUCUCAAAUGUUACCUUUGCCACUCGAACAUAUCGUGGGAUGAAUGUGAAAAGAAUAAAAAAGUAGGGGUUUGUUACCCCAACUACGACGACGUCUGCAUCACAAUGCAUCAUAUUGAAAACGAUGACACAGAAAAAGGAUAUAAGGAAGAUUUUGUCAAGAUGUGUGGCCAAGCGCGGUCGUGUACGGACAAAGACUGCCAGAAAAAAUACAAAACUUGUCAAAUAGAUUGUUGUCAUAGCGACUUGUGUAACGUAGCGACAGGGCGAACUCACGUGACAAGCACAAUGCUGGCCACUGUGCUUGCUGUUUUGUUGUGUGUUCUACAAUUGCGUUGUAUUUUCUGAACUUUCUUCUCUCUCAAUUGCGAUUGAUACUGUACAUUGAGGAAAUUGUGCAACAUUUUUCGAUUUGAGUUACGAGGCAGUUUUCCGCGCCCAACUCCUGAAUACGGGUCGAGUCCCACUUGCCCCGCAGCGUAAUGUGAGUCCAAUCAGUGAUUGACUUGAACUAAUACGGUCCAAGAAGCGGCUGAACCGCAUUGAUACUGGAUCAGACUCAACAGAAUCGCACUGAUACGGGUGAAAAAAUGCGGUUGACCCGCAUUGAUACGGGAUCAAACUCGACUGAAUUGCACUAAUACGGGCGGCAAAUGCGGUUUAUCCGAAUUGAUACGGAUCUGAAUCCCAGUAAUACGGGCCAACAUGCGCUUGACCCGCAGAGAUUCUAGAUCGAUCCCAAUCGACGCGCAAUCUUUUUAAUGUUGGAAGAAGUGUACUAAUAUCACCGUCAAUAAACAUUUCCUGAAAGUGUUCUUUUUCACAACGAACGCUAUACGUCAAAAUUUACUUCCUAUUAAGCUGUAAAGUAUUUUUGAUUAAUUGCACUCUGUAAAUGUGAUAUUUUUAUACAAAGGAAUAAACUGGCGGUUAUAUAUUGGCCAUUGACAAA